UCCCCGAUAGCUCAGUCGGUAGAGCAGGUGGCUGUUAACCACCGGGUCGCUGGUUCGAGUCCGGCUCGGGGAG
Molecule: transfer RNA, 73 nt
Filed under: Tistrella mobilis KA081020-065
Lineage: Bacteria; Pseudomonadati; Pseudomonadota; Alphaproteobacteria; Geminicoccales; Geminicoccaceae
Rfam family: tRNA
About the family: Transfer RNA (tRNA) molecules are approximately 80 nucleotides in length.
Source: Rfam by way of RNAcentral